Microcebus murinus (gray mouse lemur) is the source of this 3997-nucleotide long non-coding RNA. The record is from Ensembl. NCBI's taxonomy places the organism in Eukaryota, Metazoa, Chordata, Mammalia, Primates, Cheirogaleidae.
UUCCCAGGAAGACCCCAAACUGGAGGACAGCAUGGGAGGAGGAGCAGAAGACGUGCUGACCACGUAGUAUCGGCUCUUCUUUAAUAGCAGAGGAAGGGGAGCCUCUUGAGGUGAACACUACCAUUUUCAGCUGUGGCAAGGAACAGGAAGAGCAAUUGAUGGCUGCCUCCAUAGCUGACUCACCAGUCAACAUUCAGAAAUUGUCAGACAAGCAAUUUCAUCAUGCCAUUGUCCGAUACUUUCUUCACACAGCACAGCUCCUGAGCAAGAGAGACGCGAGAGAAUGUCGCCUCGUGGCAGGCGCCAUACUAGUUCCGGUGCACACCGGAAGUGACAUCAGAGUGCGCACCGCCGGCCGGAAGCUUACUGUCUGCGGAGUCUGUGGGGAAUGGGACAAAGAGCAGACACGUCAACAAAUGACAGGACCCAAGGUCUUCACAGAAUGCCGUGGGGCACAUGGAGGUUCAGAGCGGCAUUAUUCGUGACAGCCAAAAAGCGGAAACAACCCAUAUGUCCAUCAACUGGUGAGUGGAACAAAAUGUGGCCUAUCCACAUGAUGGAAAAUACUUGGCGACACGGAGGAGCGCAGUACUAACACGCGGUACGAGAUGCAUGCACCUUAAGAAUAUUAUGCUAAGUGACAGAAGCUGUUCACGAAGACUGUCUCCUGCAUGAUGCCAUUUAUAUGAAAUGUCCACAUAGGCAAAUCUGUAAACACAGAAAGUAGGUGGGUGGUUGCUUAGGGCUGGGAGAUGGGGUGCAGAAGGGGGAAUGUGGGGGCGACAGCUAAGGGGAACAGGGUUUCUUUUUGGAGUAAUGAAAAUGUUCUUAAAUGGAUGUGGUGAUGGAUGCACAACUCUGUGAAUAUUCUAAAAGCCACUGAGUCAUGCACUUUAAAUGGGUGAAUUGUACGGUAUAGGAAUGACACCUCAAUCAAGCUGUUCACAAAAUGUCACGGGAGCAAAGAAAACAGAUGAAUCAUUGCCAAUGUUAUGAGGAUGGAAAUGAGCGUUCACGGAACACGACAUCCUCGGGGAAGCCUUCAGGUGGUAACUACAUGGGACAACACACUCAAGGAAUUAAAGAAGUCCCAGUGAGUGUCGACUUUAGGAACACAGCACUGAAGCAGACUGGUGCAGGAGUUUGGGAGCUGGAAGUGCCAGGGGGAGGCCCCUCUGUCACCUCGCUGUUGGGCAGAAUAAGAUGGCAGGACAACAGAACAGGCAAAGCAGACACAGAUGUAGGACCAAGUUUAGGGUUAAGAAAUAAAGCAGUAUCUUUGGGCUGUGCAACUCUCUGUCUUUCAUUUGAGAGAAAGUAUUUAAUAUACUUUACUUUUCCCUUCUUCACAGAUUUUGAUAUCAGAUCAUUAUUACAUUGUUACUUUUCCUUUCAGUUUUAAAACUACAUUUAAAACAGUUUAGACUUAAAUAUUUUGACCAAUUUCAGUGUUUAUUGCUGUCUCAUUUGUAAGAUUUUAAUUUUGACUAGAGUGUAUAAUUAGAUAAUUUCUUUCAAGAAGUACACAUGAAAAGUAUAUUUUCUGAGUUCUUGUUAUAUUAGAAUGUUAUUGUGUUGCCUUUAUAUAUAAAUGACUAUUUUCUUUGUAUAACAUUUUUAAAGGUUUAAACUUAUAUAAACUGGUAAAUCUUUAGCCCAUAAAUAUUUUCUUCUAUUUUUUUUUCUUUUUUUUUAUUUAUUUAAUAUUUUCUUCUAUGAUAUCUUCAGAUUUUCCUUCUGAUCUAUUUUUUCUCUUCUUUAGUUGUCCUUUUUAUUAUAUCUUUGUUCUCCACUCACUAUCUUCCAUGAUCAUUUUGUUUUCUUUCUUCACCUUAAUCUCUUUGUCCUUUUUGCUAACCUUGUCGGGGGAUGGGGUGGAGGUGGAUUAGUAUUCUUAAACUUACUGUCUACAUCCUGUACUAUCAUUUAUUGUACAUGUAUCAUUUAUUGUACAAUGUUGAUUUUAAUUCUACUACAUUUUAAGUUUCCUUGAAACCUUUUGUGUCAUUAAUCUCCUUUUCUAUCUCUUUCUGUUGCUUGUUCAUCUUAAUCUUUGUUUAUGACUCUCUGAUCAUUAUUUUUAAAAGUCUAUUAUUUUUUGUCCUUUUAUGAGGACCCCAAACCAGGUUUCAAAAUUAUUCCUUUGGAUUUUGGAGUAGCUUAUCUUCAAAAGCAGGCUCUUCCUGGGUUUGCUAUUGUUUGUAAGGUGUGCCUUUCUCAGCUAAAUUCCCUCUUACCUUGUAAUAAAUAAUACUGAAAUUACAGCCUUGUAGAUAACUGUAUAUUUCAGAAAAAUGUAAUAUUUCACUCUUAAUGAAGAGAAAAAUAUUGUUCCUUUUAGUGUGCAUUCUUUUUAGCUCUGCUGUUAAUAUCAAUAAAAUAAUCCUUUUCUCCAGAAAUAACUUUGCGUUUAAUGGCCUAUUUCCUAUCCUGGAGAGUGACUUUCUGAAAAUAGUGUUAUUGUGUUUUGUUACAGAACCUUGAUUUUUAAAAGAAUAUUAUUUCUUAAAAUAUUUUUAGAUUUAUAGAAAAUUUGCAAAAUUAAUACAGAGAGCUGUCACAUACUAUUCACCCAGUUUCCUCUAUUAUUAACACCUCAAUUAGCAUGGUACUUUUGUCACAACUAGUGACCAAUAUCGAUACAUUAUUAUUAACUCAAAGCCUGUAGUUUAUUUAGGUUACCUCUGUUUUAACCUAAUGUCCUUUCUGUAUUCCAGGAUUCCAUCCAGGUUACCACGUUAUAGUUAGUUGUCAUGUCUCCUUGGAGUCCUCUUGGCUGUGACAGUUUCUCAGACUUUUGUUGUCCUCGGCAGUUCUGAGGGUACUGGUGGGCUAUUUCGUAGAACGUGACCUCACUUGGGAUGUGUCUGAUGUUUUCCUCGUGAUUAGACCGGGGUUGUGGGUUUUUGAAGAUCACCAUUGUUGUCACUCAUAUCAAGGGGACAUGAGUGUCACUGUUGAUGUUGGUCUCGAUCACCUGGCUGAGACAGUGUUCGUCAGGUUUCUCCAAGGUAAAGUUACUCACUGCCCACCCCACCCCCCUUUCCAUAUUGUACUCUUUGGAAGGAAGUCACCAUGUGCAGCCCACGUGUGAGGGGUGAGGAGUUAUGCUCCAUCUCCUUGAGGUUGGAGUAUCUACAUAAAUUUAUUUGAAAAACUGUCUCUUCUCACCCAUUUAUUUAUUUAUGACUUAUACUCCUAUCGACUCAUGUGUAUUUAUAUUUAUACUUUGAAUAUAAUCCCAUACUACAUCAUUUACUUUGUUACUCCAAUUGCUCCAGCUCUGGCCAUCUGGGAGCUCUUGCAGUUGGCUCCUUUGGUACACGUCCUCCAUUGCUGUGGGUUUAUUUAUUUAUUGUUGAGCAUGUCUUUAUUUUCUGGCACGAUAAGAUGUUCUGGGCUUAUCUUGUGUAUUUCCCACCCUAGUUUUAGCAUCAGCCAUUUGUCUAAAGAGCCCUGGUUCCUUUUAUUGGAGAAAGGUAUUAGAAACCAAGAUCUGGGCAGGGGGUGUGCUCAGUGCUACUGGGGUGUUGUUACUUCUAGACCCUCUGAGUUGACAGAGCAAGGAAAGGUGUGUAUACUCACCUGCGUAUAUACACAUACCUGUAAGUAUAUCCGUACGUAACUAUCUGUGUCUAUGUGAAGAGCAAUGUGUUCACACUGAUAUCGCCAACUCCAAUCCACGCCCACAUGGAUCAUUCUAGUCUCCUCCCAUUGCUGCUCUGUAGACUCCCAUUCCAGAAUUGUGCCUUUAAAAAACAUUUCCUUGAAAAAAAAAAGUAUAUAAAUGUGUCUAUGUUCAAGCGUGUGUGUGUGUAUUACAGGUUCAUUGAAGAAUGUUUGCAAAAUUCAACAAUGUCUAUGGAAGAAAAUCCAAAUCUCUUUCUAGAUUCAAUCAUUGUUAAUAUUUUCACACACACACAAACACGCCUACAAUUUUAUAAACAAAACUGUGAUUAUACUAGACAUAUAGUCUUUAAUCUGUUUUUUCUACUCA